AGGAUAAACGCUGGCGGCGUGCCUAACACAUGCAAGUCGAACGCGCUUUCGGGCUUCGGUGCGAGAGCGAGUGGCGGACGGGUGAGUAACACAUGGGUACCUGCCUUUCAGUGAGGGAUACCGGCGAGAAAUCGCCGACAAUACCGCAUGGGCUUGUGGGAACACAAGCAAAGUGGCGCAAGCCACGCUGGAAGAUGGGCCUGUGGCCGAUUAGCUAGUUGGGGGGUAAUGGCCUCCCAAGGCGACGAUCGGUAGCUGGUCUGAGAGGACGAUCAGCCACACUGGGAUUGAGAACGGCCCAGACUCCUACGGGGGCAGCAGUGAGGAAUUUUCCGCAAUGGACGAAAGUCUGACGGAGCAACGCCGCGUGCAGGAGGAAGGUUUUCGGAUCGUAAACUGCUUUUCUCGGGGACGAGCAAGGACGGUACCCGAGGAAGAAGCCCCGGCUAACUACGUGCCAGCAGCCGC
RNAcentral lists this ribosomal RNA (468 nucleotides) under uncultured bacterium. RNAcentral describes it as "SSU rRNA". It matches the Rfam family "Bacterial small subunit ribosomal RNA", at positions 26 to 518 of the family's 1533-position model. The record is from RNAcentral.